GGUCAAGAAAAGGCUAAUGCGACACCUUACCGAGAACUGUUGCAAUAGAGUGCCCUAAUGCGACGGUGUCUUGUAUAACAUUUUAAACCCGGACUAAUGCAACGGUGUCUCUAAGCCGUUGCAAUAGAGGGUCAAAUGCGACGGCCUAUUAGGCUAAUGCAACGGCAUACCAAUUAAUAUUUGCCCGCCUUCUAUUACGUUAUUCCCUCCCAUUAUUUUCACAAAUUUUCAAAACCAACCCACUUGAAAUUUUCAAAAAAAAUAAAAGUAAAAAAUAAAAAACACACGCAAACACGUACAGACGUACUGCACUUUCCUUUUCUAAUUAUCUCGGAGAGAGAAAAUAGGUAGAUCGAUUUUCUUUACGUUGUUAGGGUUUCAUCAAAACUUUGGCUAAGUUUAACGAUUUGGUCUGCGAUUCACAAUUAGGCUCGAGCUUAAUUCGAAAUUCUUGCAACUGGCUGCGAAAUUCUCUGCGAAAUUCGAACGCGAAAUCAUCUGCGAAAUUUCCUCUCACAUCGCUGCUUGAAAUAGUGUGUUCGUCGAGUUGGAGGGUUGAAUUGGGGCUUUGCAUUCGAACAAGUUAGGAGGAGAAAUUCACGGAGCAUGGUGCGCUAAAUGGAGAAGAAAUGUAGAUCUAGCAAUAAGACGGUGGAGGCUCUUAUUUGUUUUGGGUCGUUUUGUAAUUCCUAGCUAGUAACGUUGAAUUUGUUUCUAUGGAUUUUAAUUUUAUGUACUUUUGUCAUUAAAAACACUAAAUUAAUUAGUGAACAACUAUUUUGUAAUGCAGGCAUCCUAUGGGCACUAAUAUUGUAAUAUUACUUUUCAAGUCAAUGAAAAUCUUUUGUUUUUAUUAUUA
Molecule: long non-coding RNA, 859 nt
Organism: Spinacia oleracea (spinach)
Lineage: Eukaryota; Viridiplantae; Streptophyta; Magnoliopsida; Caryophyllales; Amaranthaceae
Exons: 2
Source: RefSeq, a predicted model, not a curated record